This 64-nucleotide transfer RNA is filed under the name Oxalis acetosella (European wood-sorrel). RNAcentral's name for it is "partial tRNA-Leu". The record is from RNAcentral. Lineage: Eukaryota; Viridiplantae; Streptophyta; Magnoliopsida; Oxalidales; Oxalidaceae.
UGAGCCUUGGUAUGGAAAAUCCGUCGACUUUAGAAAUCGUGAGGGUUCAAGUCCCUCUAUCCCC